This 254-nucleotide ribosomal RNA is filed under the name uncultured bacterium. Its description in RNAcentral is "partial 16S ribosomal RNA". It matches the Rfam family "Bacterial small subunit ribosomal RNA", at positions 524 to 776 of the family's 1533-position model. The record is from RNAcentral.
UACGGAGGGGGCUAGCGUUGUUCGGAAUCACUGGGCGUAAAGGGUGCGUAGGUGGUUCGCUAAGUCGGAUGUGAAAACUCGGGGCUCAACCCCGAGACGCCAUCCGAUACUGGCGUGACUUGAGUCUGGUAGGGGAGAUCGGAAUUCCUGGUGUAGCGGUAAAAUGCGCAGAUAUCAGGAGGAACACCGGUGGCGAAGGCGGAUCUCUGGGCCAGUACUGACACUGAGGAGCGAAAGCGUGGGUAGCAAACAGG